GGAAGUAAAAGUCGUAACAAGGUCUCCGUUGGUGAACCAGCGGAGGGAUCAUUACUGAGUUUACGCUCUACAACCCUUUGUGAACAUACCUAUAACUGUUGCUUCGGCGGGUAGGGUCUCCGCGACCCUCCCGGCCUCCCGCCCCCGGGCGGGUCGGCGCCCGCCGGAGGAUAACCAAACUCUGAUUUAACGACGUUUCUUCUGAGUGGUACAAGCAAAUAAUCAAAACUUUUAACAACGGAUCUCUUGGUUCUGGCAUCGAUGAAGAACGCAGCGAAAUGCGAUAAGUAAUGUGAAUUGCAGAAUUCAGUGAAUCAUCGAAUCUUUGAACGCACAUUGCGCCCGCCAGCAUUCUGGCGGGCAUGCCUGUUCGAGCGUCAUUUCAACCCUCAAGCUCUGCUUGGUGUUGGGGCCCUACAGCUGAUGUAGGCCCUCAAAGGUAGUGGCGGACCCUCCCGGAGCCUCCUUUGCGUAGUAACUUUACGUCUCGCACUGGGAUCCGGAGGGACUCUUGCCGUAAAACCCCCCAAUUUUCCAAAGGUUGACCUCGGAUCAGGUAGGAAUACCCGCUGAACUUAAGCAUAUCAAUAAGCGGAGGA
Molecule: ribosomal RNA, 599 nt
Filed under: Colletotrichum gloeosporioides
Lineage: Eukaryota; Fungi; Ascomycota; Sordariomycetes; Glomerellales; Glomerellaceae
Description: eukaryotic LSU rRNA
Rfam family: 5.8S ribosomal RNA (bases 227-380)
Source: RNAcentral